Molecule: unclassified non-coding RNA, 334 nt
Filed under: soil metagenome
Description: partial contains 5.8S ribosomal RNA, internal transcribed spacer 2, and large subunit ribosomal RNA
Rfam family: 5.8S ribosomal RNA (bases 1-120)
Source: RNAcentral
GAUGAAGAACGCAGCGAAAUGCGAUAAGUAGUGUGAAUUGCAGAAUUCAGUGAAUCAUCGAAUCUUUGAACGCACAUUGCGCCCCUUGGUAUUCCAUGGGGCAUGCCUGUUCGAGCGUCAUUUGUACCUUCAAGCUUUGCUUGGUGUUGGGUGUUUGUCCAUUCUCUUGCAGAGGGACUCGCCUUAAAGUAAUUGGCAGCCAGUGUUUUGGUUUUGAAGCGCAGCACAAGUCGCGAUUCAAAGCUAUACGCCCGUUUCCACAAGCCUUUUUCACUUUUGACCUCGGAUCAGGUAGGGAUACCCGCUGAACUUAAGCAUAUCAAUAAGCGGAGGA